AGUCCAGACUCCUACGGGAGGCAGCAGUGAGGAAUAUUGGUCAAUGGACGAGAGUCUGAACCAGCCAAGUAGCGUGAAGGAUGACUGCCCUAUGGGUUGUAAACUUCUUUUAUAAAGGAAUAAAACGAGGCACGUGCGCCUUUUUGCAUGUACUUUAUGAAUAAGGAUCGGCUAACUCCGUGCCAGCAGCCGCGGUAAUACGGAGGAUCCGAGCGUUAUCCGGAUUUAUUGGGUUUAAAGGGUGCGCAGGCGGAAUGUCAAGUCAGCGGUAAAAUUUCGGGGCUCAACCCCGUCGUGCCGUUGAAACUGGCGUUCUUGAGUGAGCGAGAAGUAUGCGGAAUGCGUGGUGUAGCGGUGAAAUGCAUAGAUAUCACGCAGAACUCCGAUUGCGAAGGCAGCAUACCGGCGCCCAACUGACGCUGAAGCACGAAAGCGUGGGUAUCGAACAGGAUUAGAUACCCGUGUA
This 466-nucleotide ribosomal RNA is filed under the name uncultured bacterium. RNAcentral's name for it is "bacterial SSU rRNA". It matches the Rfam family "Bacterial small subunit ribosomal RNA", at positions 328 to 792 of the family's 1533-position model. The record is from RNAcentral.